Molecule: long non-coding RNA, 458 nt
Filed under: Fukomys damarensis (Damara mole-rat)
Lineage: Eukaryota; Metazoa; Chordata; Mammalia; Rodentia; Bathyergidae
Description: lncRNA (ENSFDAG00000032819.1)
Source: RNAcentral
AGCUGGACAUGGUGAGUAUGUGUCUUCAGGAACUGGUCCAGGAGGGCGAUGGGAUGGGGAGGCCAUCCGGAUAGCUGCGCAAACAAGGGAACCAAGAGGAGCCCUCCUGUGAUUAUAUCACCGGAAGAAAUUUGGAGGAUGAAAUAGAAAAGAAAACAGCAGCAGUAGGGGUAGGGAAAAGCUAAUUUCAGGAUUCCAUGAGGGUCUCUAUAAAUAAUUGAGAGGAAGAAACAGGUUAAACUGAAAACAAAUGCAGCAUACAAAAGUAUCGGUAUUAUUCUACUGCAAGGGAAAUGUUUAAAUACGACCGAGUCCUUGGAACGUAACCAGAGGUCUCCUGUUUUCUCCUGAGCUAUUCACAAUAAAUGGCCCCUGUGACUGCAACACGCCAAUUAAACAGUUUGUUUCUGCUUCAACCUUAAUUUGGCAGACAGCUCUGUUGUAAAUCUGCAUACCGG